GGGGCUGAUAUAGCAUUCGAUAUUUGGACUUUAACAGGCUGUUUUGCGUACCGAUUUCUGACGUAAUCAGAAUUAGUAAUUGCAACAUUUGCAAAGAAAGCAAAAGCAUUUGUCGCAUCAUUGAUGCCGAAGCAAACUGCUCUUGCGCUUGCUGCGUAAUAUACUGCAGCCAUGCUUAGUUCCGAUGCUUGCUAGAAACUAAGUGUGUCAUAUUUUGCAAGAUCGAUUCAUGCGCAUCCGCUUGAGUGCGGUGAAUUUAAAUUUUUCAGCUCGUAGUAGUUGUAUGUUUGUUUGGCUUCCGGGCAGCUACUGUGGUUAUUAUAAAACCAAACUAUGUGCGUAGACGAACAGCGUGUUACCAAAUGGACCCGGGGGCGGUACCCGGCAGCUCCACCA
This 396-nucleotide transfer-messenger RNA is filed under the name Candidatus Saccharimonadota bacterium. It matches the Rfam family "transfer-messenger RNA". Rfam says of the family: Bacterial tmRNA, also known as 10Sa RNA or SsrA, is named for its dual tRNA and mRNA-like properties. RNAcentral also lists the same sequence under 1 other name. Lineage: Bacteria; Candidatus Saccharimonadota. The record is from RNAcentral.